RNAcentral lists this ribosomal RNA (512 nucleotides) under uncultured bacterium. Its description in RNAcentral is "bacterial SSU rRNA". It matches the Rfam family "Bacterial small subunit ribosomal RNA", at positions 27 to 518 of the family's 1533-position model. The record is from RNAcentral.
GAACGAACGCUGGCGGCGUGCUUAACACAUGCAAGUCGAACGCGAACGGGACUUGGUCCCUAGUAGAGUGGCGCACGGGUGAGUAACGCGUAGAUAACCUAUCUUCCUGUCUGGAAUAAUACGCCGAAAGGAGUACUAAUACCGGAUACUCUUGCUUUUUCAUAAGUAUAGCAAGCAAAGGUGGCCUCUGUAUAUGCUACUGCAGGGAGAGGGGUCUGCGUACCAUUAGCUAGUAGGUGGGGUAAGGGCCUACCUAGGCUACGAUGGUUAGCGGGUCUGAGAGGAUGAUCCGCCACACUGGCACUGGAACACGGGCCAGACUCCUACGGGAGGCAGCAGUGAGGAAUAUUGCGCAAUGGGGGCAACCCUGACGCAGCGACGCCGCGUGAGUGAAGGAAGGCCUUCGGGUCGUAAAGCUCUGUCAAGAGGAAAGAAGUGCAUAGCGGUUAAUACCCGUUAUGUUUGACGGUACCUCUAAAGGAAGCACCGGCUAACUCCGUGCCAGCAGCUGC